GAUGAACGCUGGCGGCGUGCCUAAUACAUGCAAGUCGAGCGAACAGACGAGGAGCUUGCUCCUCUGACGUUAGCGGCGGACGGGUGAGUAACACGUGGAUAACCUACCUAUAAGACUGGGAUAACUUCGGGAAACCGGAGCUAAUACCGGAUAAUAUAUCGAACCGCAUGGUUCAAUAGUGAAAGACGGUUUUGCUGUCACUUAUAGAUGGAUCCGCGCCGCAUUAGCUAGUUGGUAAGGUAACGGCUUACCAAGGCAACGAUGCGUAUCCGACACGGGAGGGUGAACCGCCCACCCGGAAAAGGAGCACCGGCCCAGACCCCACGGGGGGGGCGAAGUAGGGAACUUCCCGCAAGGGGGGAAAGUUUACCGGACAAAGCCGGGGGGAGUAAGAAAGGCUUUGGGAUUAAAAACCCCUUUUAUUGGGAAAAAAAAAAUGUGUAAGUAACUAUGCCCGUCUUGACGGUACCAAAUAAGAAAGCCCCGGCUACCUACGG
Molecule: ribosomal RNA, 497 nt
Filed under: uncultured bacterium
Lineage: Bacteria
Description: partial 16S ribosomal RNA
Rfam family: Bacterial small subunit ribosomal RNA
Source: RNAcentral